GUACACGCUGUGACUAGCAUAUCAAUAAGCGGAGGAAAAGAAACUAACAAGGAUUCCCCUAGUAACGGCGAGUGAAGCGGGAAGAGCUCAAAUUUGAAAUCUUAAAGGGUUUCCCUUUACGAAUUGUAGUUUAAAGAAGUGUUUUCUGUUGAGGUUUUGGUAAAAGUUCUUUGGAAUAGGACAUCAUAGAGGGUGAGAAUCCCGUAUUUGACCUUUACUUUCAACUUUGUGAUACACUUUCAAAGAGUCGGAUUGUUCGGGAAUGCAGUCCAAAAUGGGUGGUAAAUUUCAUCUAAAGCUAAAUAUUGGCGAGAGACCGAUAGCGAACAAGUACCGUGAGGGAAAGAUGAAAAGAACUUUGAAAAGAGAGUUAAACAGUACGUGAAAUUGUCAAAAGGGAAGCGUUUGACACCAGUGUUGUUUUUCUGAAAAUCAAUUAAAGAACUGUUUAUGCUAAGUUGUUUAGACUUUAUCAGCUAACUGUUUAGUUUUGAGCUUUUCUUUAAUGCACUUUUCAGUUAACAAGUCAACAUCAAUUUCUUUUGCUGUAAAAAAGCUUGAGGAAGGUGGCUUGAGAUUCGUCUUAAGUGUUUAUAGCCUCUUGCCUAUGCAGUCGGAGAGAUUGAGGUCUGCAGCGUAGAUCCUUCGGGGCUAAAUGCAUUUGUGCUAAGUUAUAGCAUUUUAUAGACAACUUGUUGACUAUGAUUUGUCUUGUAGCUUACUCGCUUAUGUUAUUUUACCUACGCUUAGGAUGUUGAAGAUGUAGCACAUCAU
Molecule: ribosomal RNA, 774 nt
Filed under: uncultured Neocallimastigales
Lineage: Eukaryota; Fungi; Neocallimastigomycota; Neocallimastigomycetes; Neocallimastigales
Description: partial large subunit ribosomal RNA
Rfam family: Eukaryotic large subunit ribosomal RNA
Source: RNAcentral